AUCAUCUCCUCUAAAAUUCUCUCUCUCUCUCUCUCUCUCUCUCUCUCUCUCGUAAUCCUCAUUAUCCAAGUCUAGAGCCGUUUGUAAUUUGUUUUGAAGAUCAAAUGGCCAUGUCCAACACAUUUACACUUUGCAUUGUUGCUCUCUUGGUGUGCUCGAUUUGCAGUGAAACGACGAAUGCAAAAGAUAUUGGUUAUGGGACAAUGCGCCGUGAUCAGCCGUUUGGAUGCAGGGGGCAACGGUGCAUGCCUCCACCAUCCAACUCUUAUAACAGAGGUUGUGAGAAGGAGAAGGAGUGCAGAGGUGGUAGUCGUAAACUAAAAUGAGUCUUCCGAAGCACAACAUAUAACCAAGAAGGGGAGACACCAAGAAAUGGCGCUUAAAACACUAAAGUGGGAUGCCCAUUCUUUUACAUAAAUGUAUUUAUUAUACUACUCUACAUCUAGCCAUAUUGUGAACAUGAUGUAAUAAAGAACAACAUUAAUUAAUCAAUUUCUAAAGAGCUCAAC
Molecule: long non-coding RNA, 509 nt
Filed under: Prunus dulcis (almond)
Lineage: Eukaryota; Viridiplantae; Streptophyta; Magnoliopsida; Rosales; Rosaceae
Description: sRNA ncRNA
Source: RNAcentral